RNAcentral lists this ribosomal RNA (253 nucleotides) under uncultured bacterium. Its description in RNAcentral is "partial 16S ribosomal RNA". It matches the Rfam family "Bacterial small subunit ribosomal RNA", at positions 524 to 776 of the family's 1533-position model. The record is from RNAcentral.
UACAGAGGGUGCGAGCGUUAAUCGGAAUUACUGGGCGUAAAGCGCACGUAGUCGGCUUUGCAAGUCGGGUGUGAAAUCCCCGGGCUCAACCUGGGAACUGCAUCCGAGACUGCAUCGCUAGAACGUUGGAGAGGUAAGUGGAAUUCCGAGUGUAGAGGUGAAAUUCGUAGAUAUUCGGAAGAACACCAGUGGCGAAGGCGACUUACUGGACAACUGUUGACGCUGAGGUGCGAAAGCGUGGGGAGCAAACAGG